CCUACGGGGGGCUGCAGUGGGGAAUAUUGCACAAUGGGCGCAAGCCUGAUGCAGCCAUGCCGCGUGUGUGAAGAAGGCCUUCGGGUUGUAAAGCACUUUCAGCGGGGAGGAAGGCGGUGAGGUUAAUAAUCUCAUCGAUUGACGUUACCCGCAGAAGAAGCACCGGCUAACUCCGUGCCAGCAGCCGCGGUAAUACGGAGGGUGCAAGCGUUAAUCGGAAUUACUGGGCGUAAAGCGCACGCAGGCGGUCUGUCAAGUCGGAUGUGAAAUCCCCGGGCUCAACCUGGGAACUGCAUUCGAAACUGGCAGGCUAGAGUCUUGUAGAGGGGGGUAGAAUUCAAGGUGGAGCGGUGAAAGGCGUAGAGAUCUGGAGGAAUACCGGUGGCGAAGGCGGCCCCCUGGACAAAGACUGACGCUCAGGUGCGAAAGCGUGGGGAGCAAACAGGAUUAGAUACCCGUGUAGUC
Molecule: ribosomal RNA, 465 nt
Filed under: uncultured Klebsiella sp.
Lineage: Bacteria; Pseudomonadati; Pseudomonadota; Gammaproteobacteria; Enterobacterales; Enterobacteriaceae
Description: bacterial SSU rRNA
Rfam family: Bacterial small subunit ribosomal RNA
Source: RNAcentral